UCGCGCCCCAGGCCGGCGGCUCAUCGCGACUGGGAGGGCUGGGAGAGGGGGUCCCGGGAGCAGCGGGGCACACUGAACUCCGGAGAGCGGGCCGAGCAGGAGAGAACUCGCUCGCCGAGCCGCUGGCUCCAACCCCGGGCGUGCACUUGAACCCGCCGCGAGGCCGGCCACCCGUCGUGCUCGGAGCGCACCAGUGCCCCGGCCCGAGACGGGCGUGGGCCUCACACGUGGGCUCCUCGGCCUCACUUGGUGGAACGGCCGGGCCCACGGCGCUCGGCUGGGUGGGUGUGUGUGUGGGGGGGGAUCCCACCCGGUCCCCUGGGUUAGCAGCGCCGGGGCAGCGCACCCCACUCAGGGACCCUGAGUCUGAAGGCGGAGACCCAGGGUUGCCUGCGGCGAAGCUCGACUUACACUUCACUAUCCGAUUUGGAGAAAAUGUCACAGGAGGGGGGUAUGAAGAAAGAAAGAAAAAAACCCUCCAAAUAUGAUUUCGGGGGAGGGGGCGAGGGCCGAGGCGUGCGCGCGCGGCUGGGGCGGCGCGGCCCCGCGGGCGCCGGGCGGGGAUUCCCGGUCUCGCAGCGCGCCCUAGUGGACGCCCUGCCCGUAGCCCGCUCCGCGCCGCGCUCGCUCGGGCUCCCCCGCUCAUUACAAUCUGCAAUAUAUUAUUUCUCCCAAAGUAUUGACAAUGUGUGAGACUCCAAUAACCUCGGAGCUCUUGUCUGUAAUCAGCACAUUUAUUCACAUUUAGGGAGAAGAAUCCGAAUUAAAUCCCCGUGACCCAGAUUGGGUUACAGUGUCAUUUUCCCUGGAUCCUCUUUUAAAUCCACUCCACACUGCUUCUCUGUCUAUUACAUGCUAAUUUAAUUUUACUGUGGACGAUAUUUUCAGCAUUUGCUGAGGACAGUAAAUUUUGUAGUUUAUGUUAUUUCACUUUUUAUGACUUUUUAACACUUAAUAAAAUUUUAUUAGAGCACUUUUGUGUUUACAAGGCCACAAAACUCUUGGCAGGUUGUCAGAAGUCCUUUUUAUUAUGAUCCUACUGAUAUACUGCGAGUAAUGAAAUAAUCAUGUCCAGAAAUGUAUCAAAGGCCAGAGGGAUUAUCCCACUUAAUAGCUCCACAGAUGCGCCCAGAAGAAUGCGGACACGCGGCGGGACCGGCUGAGAGGCGGCGGGAGGAAGGAGGCAGCCCCCACGCCUUUCUUUACCAUUUCGGUUGCUUUCCUAAAAGGCUACAUGCAGGGUCAUGUGACUUUCCGCGGUCUCAAUAAAAAAAAAAAAAGAAUUUAUUCUAUUGCAAAAUGUGCUUUUCUUUUUAUUCUCCUUGUGUGGGCAUUUAAGGCUGUUCUAGUGGCAGUGGGGCUGGCUCAGCAAAUCCGUGUCAGUCACUUUCCUCUCAUUUCUAAGUGUACUUUUGUGGCAUUUAAGCAGCCGAUGGUGACAUUGGUGUUGAUCUUUGCGGCUGCUACAGCCCUUACGGAGAGGAGGCACUGGGAGGGACCCAGGAGGGCAAGAGAUGUUUGAAGGUCCUUCCCCGCAUCUUCUGCCGUUGCUUUUUGUUCGGUUUUGCAAAACAGGGAAAUAGUGACUUGAAGACGCCGCUGUCUGCCUUGUGCCACAGAACUACAGUAUGCUGCUUUUAUUUUAUUUUUAUUUUUUUGGUAAGACUUGCUAAGAGGACUGAGAUGUUGCAGUUUUUUUUUAAAGAACCAUUUCCUUUUCCUUUAAAUAUAUACAUGAUUAUUUAACACACUGGUGUUAAGUUCAUUCUUGCUGCAAAAGAAGGCCAUUGUACUUCCUGACCCUGAAAGCAAGGUGGGUGGCUUUGUUUUAUAAUCAAAUUUUCUGUCUCCAGCUUCAUAUUUCUUUUUCUGUUAUUUCCUGAAUAGUGUGCCAAAGUGAUCAAAGAGAUGAGGAAUAGAGUCAUAAAUGGAGUGAUUUUGAAAUUACUGUUACUAUGUCCAGAGCACGUGUUCUUUUAAACUUUGGCUCUGAGGGACUUUGGUGAUCUUUUUUACAAGUGUGUGUGUGUGUGUGUGUGUGUGUGUACAUGCGUGCGUGUGUGUUUCAUGUUCCAACACAUCACUUUCAGAUUUUGCAGUCUGUCAUUGUUUAAAACAACCCCUGGGAGGCAUGCCCCUCUCUGGAUUGCCUCCAUCACCCACAUGUGUGUGCUCUCCCGUCCUGAUGGACAUACGGCUGCUCACCAGGGCUCUUUGAUUUCAACUUCAAGGGAGCAAUUUUGUUCUUUGUAUGUCAUUUGCUAACCAGGGAUGAAACUUAGUGCCUGGUCUAAUAGUCUACUGUGUGUGCAGGACGGUCUAGGUUCUGAAAAGAGCAUAUGAAGGAUAGCACCCACCCCUUAAGAAAAAUUUACGUCUUGGGAUUAUUUGGGCAGCCAUUUUUCUCUUUUUUAUAGUGUUUUCCAUUUGCAAAUAUGAGAGGGGUUUUUUUUCCCUCUUUUUCAAGUGAUGUUUUUUUAACAUAGCUGAAAGAAAGUGACAUUUGGCUCUGAAUAAACAUUCUUCCUUCACUCUGGUUGUUACUGACAGUUUGUAUUCUUUCCCUUUUACCAAGAGACACAAGAGUGGACAGAGAAAUGGGUGCAGAUUUUGAGCUUUCCAAAUUUCAGAGCAUUUUACAUAAGGGAAUUUAUACCCAAGUACGGGAAUCAAGAGGAGCAUAUUAAUUUUAAUUCUGCUAUAAAGUGACAGUUCAAUUUUAUAAGUAAUUUGUGUCUAGGACAAUUUAAAUAAUACUUCAAAGGCUGUAAUAACAUGCAAGUUAGAAAUCUGUCUUAUUAGAUUAUGAAGCAAACCUCCCCUAAGGUAGAUAUUUUUAAUGCAUCAAAGUAUGUUUAUAAUUCUUAUUCGAAAGAGCAAGAGAUUGUCUUGAACACAGUAACCGAUGACACACGGCUUGAUCAAUGGAGGGCCUAACCAGCGUCCAAGGGGAUUUUACAGCCCCUUCUGAGGUAUUCAGAGCAGAGAGGAAAGAGUGAAGCCCCAAUCCUAUCAUCUAGGGAAUCCAGCUUCGAAAAGGGGAGUAAAGAAACCAAGCUGGAGGCAUGACAUUGGCCGCUCAGAUGAACAAAUGCAGUUAGCAGUAAGACAUGGGGAUGAUGAGGAAAGACCCUACAACUACUUUGCUGGGUCUUGAUCCAAUUCUGCAUAAUACUUGUGUGGCCUUGGACACGUUACCUCUCUGUGCUCAGUUUCUUCAUCUGUAAAAUGGGACCAAUGCUAGUACCUCCCACCUUUGGUUGAAGGGUGAAAAGAGCUCAUUUAGGGUCGCCUGGGUGGCUCAGUCGGUUAAGCGUCUGACUUCAGCUCAGGUCAUGAUCUCACAGCUUGUGGGUUUGAGCCCCACAUUGGGCUCUGGCUCUGACAGCUCAGAGCCUGGAGCCUGUUUCUCCCUCUCUCUGCCCCUCCCCUGCUCACACUCUGUCUCUGUCUCCGUCUCUCUCUCUCUCUCUCUCUCUCUCUCUGUCAAAUAAAUGAACAUUACAACAAUUUAUAAAAGAGUUAAUUUAUAUGAAAAUGUUUAAAACAGACCUUGAGCGCUGCUUAAAACAAACCCCAGGGAGAUUGACAUAUCCAUCACCUGGCACAUAGUCGAUGUCAAUAAAUGCUUGUUGGAUGAGUGUUGAAUGUUAUUUCAUUGACUGCACUGGUUGUUCAGGUGUGACCCAUGGGGACACAUGUUAUCAGCCUCAGGUCUCGACCUGACGCUACUGAGAAUAGAUAGAGCCCCAGGAAAAGUUGUGCCCAACUGCUCUUUUACUUUUCCUGUGGAAUUCUAUAUUGUUUCUCAAUUAACAAUUAGCUUAUAGUUUUUAGGGAAAGAGAGAGUUCAAAUUGCAGGGUCGGGGUGAGGGGUGGGGAGGAAGUCCUUAUACUAAGCACAGUGGCUUGUAUCGAAGUAACAGAAAACUGAUAAGUCAAUGUACCAAUACAUAUCAAAGCAUUCUCCGGUAUCAUCUAUGAUUUAGUAAGCAACAAUUGCAGGCACUAUGCUGAAUUCUUCGAUAUGUCAUUUUACUUCCUCCUCACGCUGACCUUCAUACAGGGAGUUAUCAAUGUGUGUUUUACAGGUAAGGCAGAUGAAGCUCAGAGAAGUCAAGGGACUUUCCCAAGGUCACACAGCUAGGAAAUGACAGACGUGGAAGUUUAACCCAGGGCCAUGGGAAUGUAAAAGCUAUGCAGUCAGUUGACCACUAUUCUACACUGCCUCCCAGUCUGCUUGGCUUUAUAGAACCCCUAAGCAAUCUGGUCAUUUACGAUUGUAUAAGCCCUGGUGAAAAUGGAAAAUGAUUAAGGCUGAAACCUAGGCCCACUGUUCUUGAAUCAUCUGUGUCUUGUGCAGUGAUCUGAAUGCUGGGCUCAAGGGAGUGAGAUACAGCGCUGCCUCCCAGGGGCUAUCCCCAACUGGUGCUUAAAAAGGGCCUGCAGAGAAGUCAGGAUUACUUUUCCCCCUUUGAAAAGCCAUGACGAUGCUGAACUUAGCUGACUUAGUCCUCACGCAACACGUGAAUGGAGUUGCAUGGAAAAGAGAGUGAGGAACCAGACCUUAGACAAGUGCGGGACAGCACAGGUUUUCCUUUUCACCGGGGGACUUUGAGGAUACCCACUCUCCAAAGAUAGUUGGUGGGUGUCCUAACCAUUUCAGGGAAAGAAGAACAACCUGAGACAAUAAGAAAAGCCUCGAUUCACAAAUAAGGUCUCUCAACGAGCAAGCCGUGGGUAACGCAGGGGUGCAUGGCUUUAACCACGUGAUGAAUUCUGCACCCUUAAAACGAACGUGCACAGAGCCCCAGAAGAGCGUAUCAAAGAGCUCGUUAAGUUGUUCUAGGGAAUAUUCAACACUGCUUUAGUACAAACCCAUCCCUCAAAGUCUCGAUUUUAGGUUUAGUGAGACUCCUCCCCCACCACUGAAAUAGUUAGAAUGAAUCUUCAACUUGAGACUUUGUGACUGUUCUUGCUGGGGGAAGGGGAGGGAAAGGGAGAGGAAACGGAGAGAUACCUCCAAAGGACUCAUAACUCGACAGAGACCAAGCUCACUGUGCGAAUGGAGAAGCAGGGGCUCUGCAAGCCUGGGGUUGCUCCUCGCGAAUCAAAGGCAAUUUCAGGCAGCGGUGGUUCGGGGUUGGCUCGGGUAUCAGGGGGUACCAGUCCUCUGAGAACAUGACGCAGGCACUUCAUUCACCUUUCAGUCUCCGAGUUGUUAUUUUUGAAAGAGAAAAGUCAUCCGAAUUUUCACGCGCAUUUAUGGGGCUUGGGAAAUUAAGGCUAUAUUUAGAGUUGGUUUUGAGCUCCUCACCAUGAAGUCUGAACUACAUUUUAAAAAAAAAUGGAUGAGUAACUGACUGUGUCUUGAUGAAUGUUUGAUUAGAACAAGAGAAAACAAAAAAGGCAACGUUAGCUGCUAAAUUUCAUCCCGCUAGUUUAAAAACGCAGCACUACCUACAACAGAGCUGAGGCUGGAAAUCUCUAGAAAGAACCCUGAAAGAAUUGAUGCUGAGGCCAUAUAUUGCAGCAGACAUAAUUUUAUUAGCCAUCCAAACUUUUAAGGACCUUGAGUCAUUUUCUUCAAAUUCGACUUGCCUUUCCUUCUGCAUCUGUGAAUUUGCCAAGUUAAAGUUUAUUGCUGAAACAGGUUUUGAAUGACAGUGUAUCUUUUUUGAAAAUGUCUGAGUACUUUUUGAUUAUUUGAUGGAAAGAAUGUAUGCUCUUCCCUUUUUAUGUAUCUUUCAAACCAGCUGCUCUGAUAUAAAUAACGAUCUUGGGGGAAAAUGUAUUCACCCUUUUUAAGCUAAGAGCAAACAUUCUGUUCCUUGAAAGUUCUAGCAUUACCGAAAGGAUGUCAUGAAUGAAAUGGUUCUCAGAGCUAGUCCAGUCAGCUAGCUUGGGGAUCAGACAUUCUUCCUCAAGUUUUGGAAUCAAGAAUGAAUGCCAUGGUCAGCAAACGCCAAAAUGCAAACCCAGAGGCAACAAAGCAGUGAGCAGGGGCAAACUCUGGAGGCCAGGAAGCCACUGGAAUCUGGUUGCUAGGAGACACUCGUCUUUCGCUGGCGGCAGGAACAUGUCCUUGAGCGUGGCUUCCCCCGUGGUUGGCUUUGGACAAGCCAUGAAUCAGUCUGUCCUCGCUGGUGCUGCCCUUCCCAAGGAGCCAACCAGCCCAUCGUGCAUGUGACACAGAGUGGCCAUGGGGGGUUCUGUUCCCUCAGAAAGUUUCUCCCACAUGCCCCGCCUUUCUGGUGUACUCUUCUGAAAUCAAUAGGCAUUUCGUGCGUCUCCUCGGGGUUGUGAGGAUGUGGAAAAAUAGAUUCCUGCACGGUGCUUUCAAUCUGUGGGAAUUUUAUGAAAUAAAAUGACACACAUCGAAUUGUAUGAAACAGCCUUCAGGUGCCGUAGGGAAAAAAGAGGGACAAGAUCAUGAGUUAAUAGGAAUUCAGAAAGGCUUCAUAGAGGAGAGGGAACUGGAAGCUGGGAGGACUUGUCGAGGGAGGGACGAUUCUGGCAAGAGAGCACCAGGUAGGCUGCAGAGGGCCCUCUCGGAGGUCCUUGAGGACAGCAGACUUGUCUUGCUGGCUUGCAGAAGCACCCCCAGGGCCUGGAUCAGUGCUUGGCAGGCAGUCUGUGCUCAGUCAAGGGCUGAAUGAAUGCAGGACUAUGAAGGUGUUGGCCCAUGAGUGGUGGGAGCUUGGAGUUUAUGGUAGUGUUCCAGGGAAAAGCCAGCUGAAAGAAUGUGAAAUGAGGAAGGUUAGUCUUAUUGUAUCAGAGUGACCGCAUCAGGAAGGGGUGAGAAAUGAGGUUGACCAGCUAAGGUGCAGCCUGGUUAUGAAAGCUCUUAAAAAUUAAGCAGAUUAAAAAAAAAAAAAAGAAUGAAGGAAGGAAGGAAGGAAGGAAGGAAGGGGCGCCUGGGUGGCUCAGUUGGUCAGGCAUCUGACUUGAUUUCGGCUCAGGUCACGAUCUCACGGUUUGUGAGUUCAAGCUUCAUGUCGGGCUCUGCACUGACAGUGUGGAGCCUGCUUGGGAUUCUCUCCUUCCCUCCUCUCUCUGCCCCUCCCCCUCCUUCCUUCCCUUCUUCUCUCUCUCUGUCUCAACACUUAAAAAAAUAAAAAUAAAUAAAUAAAUAAUAAAGGGGUGCUGGGAGUCCCCUUUGGAUCCUCUGUCUCCCUCUCUCUCUCUCUCUCUCUGCCCCUUCCUUGCUUGUGCUUUGUCUCAAACAAACAAACAAACAAACAUCAAAAAGAUUAAGCAGAAACUGUCUUCAAAAAUUCAGGCACUACUGAGAGAUUUUAAGCCUGGUGGAGAAGAAAAUUCUAUGGUUUACAAAUGCUCUUUUAAAUGUGCUGUCUCUUAAAUAUAUGCAGUUUAUCAUGUAUCAAUUAUAACUCACUGAAACUAUUGAAAAUGCACAAUCUCAUUAGAUGUUCAAUAUUUGGUGAAGUGCACCUUAUUAUUUUUACAGAUGAGGAAACAGACCCAGAGAGGCUCAUGGUUUGCCUGGGUUCAAAAGCUUCAGAUGACAAGCCAAGAUUUCUGGGUCUUCUGCCCCCACACACCUCUUUUGCUCAUUUCUGAAAGCAGCCUGGGUGAGGGGGGAGGCCACCUGGAAGAUGGUGACAAAUGGCCGGCUGUUGGUGAUGUGACCACAGAACUGGCUACAAGGAUGCGAGAGGAAGACAGGAGAGCGGUUUUCUCUCUCCUUCUGCCUUGCUUCUCCCUCUGCUUUGCUAGCUUUGCUUUUCCUCCCCUCCUCUUUCCUCUUCCCUACCAGCACCUCAGACCCCUGAGGGACAUUCCCUGUCAGGCAUCACGUAUGUGGGCUCCUUGACCAUCACAGCUGCCGUAGGAACAUAGGCAAGACUGUGCUGUCGGGGAGAGGAAAAGGCAACACCUUCCCCCUCCUCAUUUUUAUUGAGGUAGAAUUAACAUAUGGUAUUGUGUAUGUUUAAGAUGCACACCAGAAUGAUUUGAUAUUUGUCUAGAUUGCAACAUGACUACCACAAUAAGAUUAGUUAAUAUUUAUCACCACACAUAGGGGCCCCAUCCAAUCACGUAGUUCUUACAUAUGAGGAGAACGUUUAAGAUCUACCCUCCAGGAGCCUGGGUGGUUCAGUCAGUUAAGCACCUGACUCUUGAUUUUGGUGGAAGUCAUGCUCUCACAGUCAUGAGAUCAAGUUCCUUAUUGGGCUCUGCGCUAGGCAUGGAACCUGCUUAAGAUUCUCCCUCUGUCUCUGCACCCCACCUCAAACACACACACACACACACACACACACACACACACACACACACCUCUUAGCAACUCUUCAAAUAUACAAUACAGCAUUGCUAACCAUAGCUGUCACGUUGUACAUCACGUCCCCGGGACUUAUCUUACAACUGGAAGUUUGUACCAUUUGGCCCCCUUUACCUAAAUCACCCUCCUGCCCCACUCCCACCAACUACAAAUCUGAUCCCUGUUUCCACCAUAUCUGAUUUUUAAAAAUUCCACAUGUAAGUGAGAUUGCGCUGCAUUCCUCUUUCUUUGUCUGGCAUAUUUCACUUAGCAAAAUGCCUUCAAGAUCAACAACUUUUGAUCUGAAACGUUGUAUCUAUAGCCCCUCUGAGAGAGGUCUGAUGUAAAAGAGAACACAAAGAAUGAGAUUUGGAGCUCAUAAAAUAUUACUAACAUUUUUGGACCAUACCUGUGAAUGUUGCAUUUAACAUAUGCAUUUAAAAGACACUCACUCAGGGCGCCUGGGUGGCGCAGUCGGUUAAGCGUCCGACUUCAGCCAGGUCACGAUCUCGCGGUCCGUGAGUUCGAGCCCCGCGUCGGGCUCUGGGCUGAUGGCUCAGAGCCUGGAGCCUGCUUCCGAUUCUGUGUCUCCCUCUCUCUCUCUGCCCCUCCCCCGUUCAUGCUCUGUCUCUCUCUGUCUCAAAAAUAAAUAAAACGUUAAAAAAAUUUAAAAAAAAUAAAAUAAAAGACACUCACUCAACUCUCACAUGUGUGAGAUGUGUUAGUGACAAUCGCCUAAAGUUUCGACUUGAAUAUUAAUUGGCCUCAAAUGUGAGCAGUAGAGCAUGUGAGAGAAGCCGGGGAGUCCUGUGGGCUUUGGAGGGAGGUUUGCAGAGACUGAAAGUGCAAACCACAUCUUCCCACUUACUAGAUGUUACUGAACCUCUUUGGCCGUCAGUUUCUUCAUCUAUAAGAUGAGAAUAAUGAGUCCUACUUAACAGAUUCGUUGUAGCCAUUAAACAACAAAAUGAAAGGAAGGAAUGGAGCGCAGUGCGGUCUUGUGGCGAGCAAUCACCUUGUGAAUGGUAGCCACACGCAGCAACUUUUCCCCCAGCUCUGUCCCCAAGCCUGAAGAUUUGAUUUGUAAUGCUAUAAUUUUAAUGUUUUCCCCUAAUAGCUUCUUUAGCAGCUCUUUGUUUCCUGCCAAGUUGCCCAGGUAGAGUUACUCAGCAAAUGACACUGAAGAGUUUCUUAGUAAGUGUUUGUUGAGUGAAUGCAUGAAAUAAAUCACACCACAUCCAAAGCGAGUUUGUUUUCUCCCACCGGUCGCCGUAAGGAUUCUUUGUGAAGGGUGGUGGUGGUGGUUGGUGAGUCAUGUUGACAAACGGAGUGACUUGGCACAGGUGUUUCUGUGGGGUCCGGUGCUGGCCCAUCAACCCAAUAACUUGGAAAUUCUCUCUCAUCAUACUGCAAAGCAACCAGCAACCAUCCAGUUAACUAGUCGUUUUACAGAAAACACCUAGGCAGGAGUUUUCCCCCUGAAUCCCUUCCCCCACCUCCCCCACAGCCAGGCUAGGUUGACUCAUAGUUUCCCACCAACAAGUUUUACCCGAUGCUUUCUGUGACAGGGCCCACGUCCCCAAAGCACUCAGCCAACUGCCCUGGGGAGCGGGUGUGAUGGUCUCCUGUCCCUCUGGUCUUACUGGUUCCAAACAGUCAUUUUGCUCCUGGACGCCAGUUUGCAUCAUGAAGCCUGCGUCUACAAGCUGUGGAACAUCAGCAUUAAGCAGCUGAAUAAUGGCAAAUGGGAAUCGAAUUUUUUAAGAAAAACAAAACAGCAAAGAGAUCAAGAAGACUGCCAGAGUGAAAAGCAUUUGGGGGCUGUCAAGACACGUCUUCCAGAGGGGGAUUACACACAUAGCUAGAAACAAGAGGUCUUUUCUGAAUCAUACAUUCGGACACACACUUACCUUUUAGUCUUUUAGUUAUAUUUUGAAGGUGAAAAUCUUUUUUCUGAGUGUUAGGCCUGCGUUUUCCUUUAUUACCAGAAGCGCGUCUUCAGAUCCUAUUAAGAACGCUAGUGCUAAUAAGUAAUCUUGAACGGGUUCUAAGAUCCUUUAAACUUCAUUUCACACUAGUAGCUCCUUCGUCUGAAACUCAGAUUGCCAUGGAAGCGUCUAUUUCCAAGCCCAUGCUGAAGCCAAUCACUGCCACGGGGAUUGUCUUGAGCCAUCUCUCUUGGGAACCUGGCUCUACGUUUCUUUGAAUGAGCUCAGCCCAAGGCUCCUAUCCCUAAAGGAAAGUCAGAAGUGCGUCUGAGAAAUACUUUUAUUAGAUCAUUUAUCCAUCCAUCCAUCCAUCCAUCCCUUUAACAAACAUCUUCACACAGGCUAUCUAUUCUAAAAGGUAGGUGCCUUAUCUGUCUUCUCGUUUACUUUAUUUCCAAAGCUUCGCCCGUGCCUGCACAGGGUAACCACUAAAGGAAUAUUUGUCCAAUAAAUGAAUGAGCACUUACCACAUGCCCACUAUGUGUUGGAACUUGAGGUAUUGAUAUGAUAACACACAGUUCCUGCCUUUUUGGUACUGGCGAUCCUUUUUCACGAUAACUUUGGCCCCCGACAGAAAACUAGAUUUCAAGGCUGCUAACACUCUUUGUAUAUUCAAUUGACUAGCUCUUUCAAUAAUUGACUGUGUAAUGCACUAACACAGAUGCAAAGUUCCCUUCGGAGACAAAUGGUGGUGGUGGGCGGGGGGGGGGGCACUUCACAUCAGACAGACUCUCAUCAUUUCUUCCUAAAGUGCACAGCACCUCCAGUCACUAAUGGUUGUAGGAGACUUUGGGGACACUAAUCUUAAUGACUGCACCAUUUCCUAUGGGUCUUGUUAGUUCCUAAAACCAUCUGUAAGAAGUUAUUGUAUUUGGCUUUCUUAAGCCAUAUUUUUAAAGAAAGACAUUUAAUUAGUGCUUGUUAAGAUGUUGUGAGUGCUUUGGCCACCUCUCUCACCCCUGCUGUUUCUUCUUGGUCAGCACAUUUCUGGAAGUGUUGUUUCCGGAAAAGGGCAUUCGAUGCGUCUCUGUUGGGAAAACUGCUAUGCGUGUCCACACGCAGCAGGUCUCUGAUGGAGACUGAAGACACGGUCAGGCCGGCUGUGAAGAAAGGGCUCGUGUUCAUAGCAGCUACUCUGAAAGGCCCCUGGUUUUGACAUUUUUAUUGAGAAAGCCGAGUUUCAAAAUGGGUUUGGGACAGAUAACUACAGGAGUGUGCACCGCAGCCCUUGGGGAGAACGUCACAAAAGGGAGACGUAUCUGAAAUGGGAACUCGAAACACCUUUGUGAAGACUUCAUAGAAAGGAAUUUGCUCGAGAAGGCAUAUGUGUAGUUACUUUAAGAGACACAAGUGAAAACGGCAAAACCGGUCACGGCACUGAAAAAUCCACCACUGCUUACUGGAAGAACCUAGUUCGUUCAGUUUCGCAAAUAUUUGAUGCCAUCGUGAAAAAUUCAAACCACUUUACAAACCAAGACAAUGUUACCGAGUUUUCCCCAGAAUCCUUUAGCCGUAUUUGGAGGAGAGUGGUUUGAUAUUUGUAAUAGUUUAUGAAUCGCAAGUACAUGUCAAGUCUAGUUAUGCCCAAAGAAGUAUUUCAAGACAACACAAUGUGCAGCCAGUGAAAAUGAAGAAAUGAAGAAAUACGUGCACCUGGAUAGGUAUAGAACUUAUUCGUGCUUUGUCCCAGAAACACGCAUUUAAGGAACGAAAAGUUUCAUGCUGGUAGUUGCUUAAAGGAUAAUUCAAGCCAAUUCCCUUUCUCUUUGAAUUAGAAUGUGCUCCUUUAAGGUAAUCCUUAAUUGAAGAGGAAGUCCACUGAAUGUAAUAUAGACUUAACCAACUUAUGAAAUCUCCAUAUCCCACAUGUCAAGUGAUUUCUACUGGAAUCCGUUUUUUGCCUCCUUCAUCUAAACAUUUAAAUAUAUUAAAAGCUUCAGUGAAGGAUUAGCAUUUGGCCCUGGGUGUAAAAACAUUUCCUGCUGGGCCCUCCACCACUAACAAGCUUUUUGUUUGGGAGAGGGGUCAGGCGUGGGGGAGGGGGAGAAGAAGGGAGAGAAGGUGGCCAACUCUUGACAUCUGAAAUCUUGAUCAGUCCCAGCAGCAUUUUUGGUUUGCGCUGAUGAUUUGUGGUAUUGUUGUUUAUCAUUCACUGGGACUCACUGUUUGGAUGCAGAGGUCUCAAGACCAUCUGCAGUCUUGAUGGGUAUUAAAGCAGCCAGGCCAGACAUCUGGCUGUCAGUUAUAAUUGCCUCCCUGCCCCUGAAGUUGUUGUUGGAUAGUUCUGAUUCCCUUUGAACAUACUACUGUGAUGCAACAGUUUUAAGCCAUUGAUGUGAGAGACAGAGUCAAUUUCUGGCCUCCGUCUAGUUGGAAUCAAGAUUUAUGAAAGGAGGAGGGUAGUUAUUUUGCUGGAAGAGUGGCUGUUUUCGUCGCACUGGGUUUAACGAUACAACAGUUUCCUCUGCAGCUUGCACAACUCACUCUGAACACGGAGAGAAAUAACGCACUCGAAAAUUAUUUUCAUGGUGUAGCCACGUUUACGAUUUCCUGUUGCCUUGGCCUGAAAGUGUUUUAACAAAAAUUAGGGUUGCACACGCAAACAUUUGAGCCAGGGGAUAAAAGGAGUUGCUAUCAUGAUUCCCUUUCAGGUUAAUAUGGGUGCCUUUGAUAGAAGCACUAUAGACUUGGGACAGCAUAUGACACCAAUUAAAAACACGAAACUUAAUUUUUGGACUAAACAAUCACAUACUCCUUGUUCUGAUACCUGGUUGAGAGUUACUGACGUGACAUUUGUUUCCCAACCACAAUCGUAAAUUUAUUGGAUUGGCUUUACUUAAGGUACAGGGGGCAACUAGUAUUAGCACAUGCGAGAGCUUAGCAAUGUCUCUGAAAUUGUAAAGCAGCUAUUAUAAAGAGAACAUAUUCUUCCCAGUGACUGUCAGUACAAGGUCAAGAACUUAAGCAAACUCACUCCGUGAACCCUAGACUUACCCAUCUUGGUUGGAGGCAGAUUUUAACUUAAAACCCAAAUUUCAAAACCAAUCAAUUAAUUUUGCCUCAUAAAGUACAACAGGGAAAAUUUUAAAAAUAACCUCCCCUUAGCCUUAAAUCUAAAUUGGCAUUUUCACAAGAUUGUUAGUAUCUAUUGAAAACCGGCCAUAAAUAGUAACCACAGAAUAAUACAUUAUGAAUCGUUUAACAACAUGAAAAGCGGCGUAUUGUCUUUGGGUAACAACGUGUUUAAAUGAUAAAAUGGAAUAUUAGUGUUUAAUUUUAAUGCAAAAAAUAAUUAAAGUGAAGGCACGCAAAGGUAAGGAGCCAGGUCAACCUCCCCAUCUUUUCACUCGGACACCUUGUUUCACUCUAGCUAAUGAUCCUAUGAAAAAAGUAUUAGUGGUUUCGUUUCAGCCCCUGGUGGCCUGUGUCACAUACUGCAUGACCGGCUGGUGGGUCCUCCAGGGUUAUUUCUCAUUUAUAGACAGUAGCCUUUUAUAAUUCUGUCGGGGGUGGCGGGGAGAAGGGAGGGGAUCCUCUUCUAACCUAUUUAUUAUGCACUCGGAAACAGUGACAAUGUUUAUAAAGAUGGGUCUAGUUAAAUUUUGUAAGAACUUCCCACGUGUUCAAAUGUUCAAAUUCGAACCUACAACUCUAUAUACCAAGUGCUUGAGUAAAGUCAUUAUGUUUAAAAGAAAAAAGUCACUGCUGACUCGUACUCCAUGUGGAAAAUUACCAAACGCUGCAGUUUUCCUAACCACGAAAAUUCUCAUUUCCCAUGUGCACUUGGUUAGCUCCUCACUAUGUCCCCAAGGAGUCUAUGAGCAUCUGAGGCACUGCAGAAAAAUGAGAAUUUCCACACUUAAACAGAGCGAAGGCGGCAUUUUUUAAUGACUAAAACUAAGAGCAGAAGAAAUGGAAGAAGAGGGGACGAUGGGUCUUUGUUUUGUUUGGUUUUGUUUUUUUCUCCUAUAAAAAAUGAGCGUGGGGUUCCCAGGUGAGAGUCAAAUAUGGGCUUGCUCUUAAUUUUUACAGGACAUUUACUCUAAAAAAAAAAAAAGAAGAUGAAGAUAAAGAAAGAAUUUCCUCUUAAAUUUCCUAACUCUAAAUUGCACCGAGUGGAUGCUGAAAUGAAAGGAGGCAUCGAGGCCAAAUUCACCACAAGGCUUUUGUGAGCUGUGAGAAGUAAUUUCAGGAUCUGCGUUUUUUAUUUAGGUUUGCUUUUCCCUCUGAGCUCUAGUGUUUAUUUUUCACCAGUUCUUUCUAUUCUUUGGUGGAAUGUAUACUGCCGAUUCUUCCAGCAUCACACACACACACACACACACACACAGAGUUUCUAUAUAUUAAAGAAAAAUGAAUACCUUUAGUCCCUUGGUAACAAUAUUUUAAAAAAGCAGCUCGAUAUUUGGAUCAGAGAGUAGAAUACUUUCAAAGACAACUCUCGCGGGCACAAUGUGUUAACUGUUUUCUGUCCCACCAUUUUAUGGUGUGCGAGCGGACAGCAAAAUGGUGGUUCCAGCAUUUUGUUGUAUGAGGGCUCCUCCGCAGCUAGCUUCUGAUGGCAGAUUGCAGAACCAGUUUGGAUACCAAAAGAAAAGCCACCUUUCUCAGGCCCAGAGACCGAUUCAGUAAAGCAUACCCACAAAUUCUCCUCCGCUCUCUGCUUUGCAGAUGCUUAAGCAAAAUUUUAUAUAUACGCACAUAUAUAUAAAACAAAGAAAAUCCUGAUUAAAAUAAAAAAAUGCAACAGAAAUGAUAGUUCAAUCAAACACAGAACGCCCUAGUGUUGUUAAAUGCAUACGUUAUUAAUAGACCUAGACCCGGGAACGUCACAGUUAGUAAUCUACCUUGAGAAAAGAUCCAAGACAGAGUUAGCGUAGAGAAUGUGAAUGUUUUACUCGUGACUAAAUGAUCUUUCCAGAUCAAGGUUGAGGUCAUUGGCAAACUAGUUUAGGUGAACUCAUUCCAUAGUUAUUUGUGCAUGCAAAUCAGGGCUCUAAUUUUUUCUUAUAUUGCUGCCUUUUGUUCAUGAGAAGAUCUUUAACUGAUUCUUUAAAAUAAGGAUAUCAAAAUAAUUGAACAAUGUAAGAAUUAAACAUUGCUGAUAGCAUUCAUUUUUUUUAUUAGCUGCUAAAUAGAACCAAAGGUAAGAUAGAUUUUGACUUACCCUUAACUGGAUCUCAAAUAGAAGAGAGAUGAAUUUGAAUAAGAGAAGAAUUUGACAUUGCCCUCUAUUACCUACGGCUGAAUUACCACUCUCUUUUGUCUGAAGGAAAACAUUUUCUUCUUAAUGAGGUGUAUAUUUUUUAAGACUGAAGAAAACUGAGGCUCAUAGCAUAUAGGUUUGCAGGUUGUUGUUGUUUUUUUUUUUUUGCCUUUUGAUCGCAGUUGCUAAACAUUUGAGAUUAUAAAAACGAUGAUGCUACAUAAAACAGACCUGCAGCAACACUGUUUAUGGCACACACAAUAGUAUUAUUUUCUGCUGUUUGGUGUGCAGAAGUUGUAAAUAGGAAAAUGUGUAUGCUAUUAAAUCUAGUAGCAAUAGGACUCUUAAGGCAAGGUUUAUUAUACCAGCGCCUGGAAAAGCUUUACUUUUUUAUCUGUGGGUGUUAAAUUUUCGUGUUUGCAACAGUAUUUUAGCUUUGGAGCUAUUUAUCUGGUAGCAUCUUCGAGAAAAAGGAAAUGGACAGAUGUCCAUAAACAAAGGGCUCCACCUGGCGGCCAAGAGAAGGUAUGAAAUGUUGAAGAGAACUAACGCUGCAAAGGGAAACAGAUGGGAAAGGCAGUGUUUAGUGUGUUUCCUGUAACGAAUACGUUUGAAGGAAAGAGAAUGACACAGUUCCCAAAUUUGGACUUCAAUGUUUAUAUAGCUUUACAGCUAACUUCAUUUGAUUAUUUUCUUCAAAUUCAACCCUCCCAAUACAUUUCCAAAUUGUUGUAUUCCAAAUGCAUCCAUCGGAACAGCCAUUAACAUGUGACCCAGACAGAUAUUAAGCACAAUAGAGAAACUAUCCAUAUCAUGUGACCAUCUUACUUUUAAGUACAAUACUAACUAGUAGACAAAUUUAAACAAAGGAAGCAUUUGCUCCCACGCAAAGGUGUUCUGUGGGUGGCUUUGCGGUGAACCUAAUUAGUUGGAACUGGAAAGGAUGUGAUCCAGAAUUCAAUCAGCGGAGGGAAGAAAUAAUUUCAAAUCCAGGACUGAGAAACAGAAAAUUGCUCGUUUUUCAAUGGCAUUUGUGGCUAAAAUGUUGGAGAAUUUGAAUCGACAUGUUGUGACUCUUCCACCUUUUCAAACUCUAAAAUUAGACCAGAAAUUACAUAUAUCAAAUGCUAUGCAAAAUGUAAAAUAGGCAUAUGACGUUUAUGGCUCUCUACGUAAGGUGGAAAUUAAAUCUUCAGCCUCCAAUAAAAUUGUAUUUCUGUAAUAAAACUGCUGCACCUUGACUCUAGACUACAUUGAAUCCCAAAUUAAACACCCCAUUUACUGUACUGUAACAAGCAAAAGGGUUUGCUACACUGAACAAUAUUACAGAUAGAGAAAGGUAUUAUAUUUUGCUUUAACCUCUGUGUGGAGUCCACCAAAACAGGCUCAUUCCCCCAUGCCUUCUUUUUUAGAACAUAUUUUGACGAGGGAAAAUUUGGCGGUUUUUCUUUCACUGGUAACAUUUCUGUUUCUUCCUCCGUUAUAUAAAUCCGCAUAGGUGGCUGGGUCUAAGAAAGUCCAUUAAGUAGGAUAUUCACUACAAAAUGUCCUACUGCAUUUCAUGGAUAACUCGGUCCUAUGAAGCAGAACUGGCCGGCGUGCUAAAGGUUAGGUACAUUUCUUUAUGCAUUGUCUGUAAUGUAACUGCCCUGCCCUAUAACGUACAUGCAUGGUUCACCCCAUAGCCACGUCCGCAGCACACGCGUACUGCUGCAUAACGUAUGAAGGUCUUAAACUUAGGUUCUGCUAAUACAUGUUAUGUAUUUCUCUUACCCAGUGUUGAUGGAGAAGAAUUAGACGGGAUGUCAUUUUAGGCAGUCUAAUACCGUAGGUGGAUAUUUUUUCCCCCGUCGCGCUUUGGCCCAGCCAACAAUGACUUCUGGCAUUUGUGAAGGGGCUUAUUAGAAAUUAAAACCUACGGAGAGUGAAGCACAGAGAACGAUGAAUACUAAUGUUCAUCUUACCAAGUCAAGGCAGGCGAGCCAGACAGGGAGCCGUGCCUCCCUCGGUCUCAGGCGUCCUGCCUGCCGAGCCACCCUCUAGUGGACUGAAGGGGAAAUUCCCUCUCCCGCCGCCUCCGCGGCUCCUCUUUUCCUGCUUACGCUCCCCUCCUCGCCCCCCUCCCCUCCCCCCCCCCCCCCCCCCCCCCCCCAUUCUCCGGAGAUGGUGGGUAUUAUUAACCUUCAAGCGCGAUACAGCGAGAUGAAUGUUAAUCGUGAAGGGAUUUCUAAUCGAGUUUAAUGGUGUAGGACAUAAGAAGUUGUGUUAGCAGUUUUAGUCCUGCUAAAAUGCUAAUUGUUAUGUUGCCUAUGAUAGGUGAGGAGAGUAUGAAAAUGGCAACAGCUUCAGUGUUCCAAUUUGGAAAUUGUUGCCUAUAAUUUUGAGGCAAGUAUGGAGACAGGGGAUAGAGUCCUUAGUAUGAAGGACUUGUCGAGAGGCUAACUUCUUCAAAGACACGGGGGAUUUGGAGCUUGAGGUCUACUCAGUUUGAAAAGAGAAUUCUCUGCGGUGAGAAAUCCUAGUAUCGGAAGCCAUGGAGAGGCAUUUUGGAUCCGCAAACAACACGUGUUUACACAAAAGGAUGCAGAGGUCAUAAUGUUGAGUACCGAUCUUUGGAGCACUUUCUCAUGUUCAUGUUUCCCUCUGUGGUUCGUUGCCACUUUCGCCAACAUGCAAAGGUAAUUUCUUUUAAAGCGGCUGCACAUAGUAAGAAUGGGGGGGAGUCCUAGAUGAGAACCCAGGGAAUCCCCAUUUUUGUCUUCCGUCUCUCUCCUUGACGCAGAGCACAGUCAUUAUCUGCGCUCUUGUGUAAGGACCCCCUACUGUACCCAGCUUCAAAGCUCCCUCCCAUGCUUGUAGAGGUGGCACCUCAUGUACCCCUGUCCUCUGUCCUGGCUGUUUGAGCUGGGGUUCUUGCAAGGCAGAUGAUGCACAAGGAAGUAGAGAGUAUUGAUGGUGUAAGAGCAAGGUCUUCAGUGUAUAUUUUUACUUGACUUCACUUACCCUAAUUUCUAUAGUUCAAGCCGAAACCACUAUAGUACUGUCAUCAUGUCGCCUACCAACGAGCUGGAGAGCAUUUUGCAGCAGGUGCACGUUACCUGUUGAAUGGGUAUCUUGUGGGGUUUCCUUGUAUUUUUGUAGUUUACAUAAUUAGUCUGAGUGUAGAAAACAUCUAAGUGAGAAAUACAGAUGACCAAAACAUAAUCCACCUUAAUGGAUACAUGCCUAUGUGAGUAUGGACCAUUGUAAUUGUACUGUCCCAGCCUCCAUAUGUGGCUUUUGUCAUCAUUUUUUUUUUUUUUACAGACUUCUUAAAAAAGUGAUUCAGUGUAGAGGAGAUAGAAAUGAUCUUGGAUGUUGACAUGAGAUGUGAAAUCAGUGGUCAACCUUAUUUUCCCGUCAAUAAUGCUAAUUAUAGUAAUUAGUCCAGGCGUCACACCUGUGCUAAAACCCUUAUCCCUAUUUUGCAGAUGAAGUAACUGAGACACCAAAGGUUAAUUGCUUGCCCGAAGCCAUGUAGCAACUCAGUCUAUACCACAAUUUUAAUCUCCUACUCUUGCUUCUUUGGCAAUGGAACAAUUAUGCCUCUCUUUAAAGAAGGAAAAUUUAUCGUGUGUAUCACAGGAAAUUAGAGCUGAUGAACAAUGGAACAAAGAGGUCACAUAUUAUUUGUUUUAAAAUUGCGGGAUCUUUCUCAUGUUAGAGAGUCUUUUACUGUGUUUUCUGGGUUGGUGCUACGUUAAUGUGUUAAAGCUACACAUAUAUUUUAACAGAAUCGAUAGUUACCCAUGCAGGUGAGGAGAUGGUACUUAGAGAUGGGACAGACGUGUCCCUCGUUUGAAGGUGAAUUUAGUGAGAUAUCAAAUUUUCUUUUCAUUUUCUUUCCCAGAAGAAUAUGUGUUUCUUUUUUCCCCUACCCAAAUGUUUCAGUGAACAUUGCAGCUGUGCAGCAAGAGGCAGUUUUGCAUGCAUAUAUU
This 19449-nucleotide long non-coding RNA is filed under the name Lynx pardinus (Iberian lynx). The stretch from base 3291 to 3375 matches the Rfam family "tRNA". Lineage: Eukaryota; Metazoa; Chordata; Mammalia; Carnivora; Felidae. The record is from RNAcentral.